CAGUAGCCGCGGUAAUACGUAGGGUGCGAGCGUUAAUCGGAAUUACUGGGCGUAAAGCGAGCGCAGACGGUUAUUUAAGCAGGAUGUGAAAUCCCCGGGCUUAACCUGGGAACUGCGUUCUGAACUGGAUAGCUAGAGUGUGUCAGAGGGGGGUAGAAUUCCACGUGUAGCAGUGAAAUACGUAGAGAUGUGGAGGAACACCGAUGGCGAAGGCAGCCCCCUGGGCCAAUACUGACGCUCAUGCACGAAAGCGUGGGGAGCAAACAGGAUUAGAUACCCGAGUAGUCCCUGUCUCUUAUAC
RNAcentral lists this ribosomal RNA (301 nucleotides) under uncultured bacterium. Its description in RNAcentral is "partial 16S ribosomal RNA". It matches the Rfam family "Bacterial small subunit ribosomal RNA", at positions 509 to 807 of the family's 1533-position model. The record is from RNAcentral.